RNAcentral lists this ribosomal RNA (274 nucleotides) under uncultured bacterium. RNAcentral's name for it is "partial 16S ribosomal RNA". It matches the Rfam family "Archaeal small subunit ribosomal RNA", at positions 473 to 747 of the family's 1478-position model. The record is from RNAcentral.
AAACCAGCACCUCAAGUGGUCAGGAGGAUUAUUGGGUCUAAAGCAUCCGUAGCCUGUUCUGUAAGUUUUCGGUUAAAUCCACUAGCUCAACUAGUGGGCUGCCGAAAAUACUGUAGAACUAGGGAGUGAGAGAGGUAGACGGUAUUCGGUAGGAAGGGGUAAAAUCCUUUGAUCUAUUGAGGACCACCUGUGGCGAAGGCGGUCUACCAGAACACGUCCGACGGUGAGGGAUGAAAGCUGGGGGAGCAAACCGAAUUAGAAACCCCAGUAGUCC